This 358-nucleotide unclassified non-coding RNA is filed under the name soil metagenome. RNAcentral's name for it is "partial contains 5.8S ribosomal RNA, internal transcribed spacer 2, and large subunit ribosomal RNA". The stretch from base 1 to 120 matches the Rfam family "5.8S ribosomal RNA", at positions 35 to 154 of the family's 154-position model. The record is from RNAcentral.
GAUGAAGAACGCAGCGAAAUGCGAUACGUAAUGUGAAUUGCAGAAUUCAGUGAAUCAUCGAAUCUUUGAACGCACAUUGCGCCCGUCAGUAUUCUGGCGGGCAUGCCUGUUCGAGCGUCAUUACGCCCCUCAAGUCCCCUGUGGACUUGGUGUUGGGGAUCGGCGAGGCUGGUUUUCCAGCACAGCCGUCCCUUAAAUUAAUUGGCGGUCUCGCCGUGGCCCUCCUCUGCGCAGUAGUAAAACACUCGCAACAGGAGCCCGGCGCGGUCCACUGCCGUAAAACCCCCCAACUUUUUAUAGUUGACCUCGAAUCAGGUAGGACUACCCGCUGAACUUAAGCAUAUCAAUAAGCGGAGGA